CCCUUAGAUGUUCUGGGCCGCACGCGCGCUACACUGACGAAUGCAACGAGCUUAUAACCUUGGCCGAAAGGUCUGGGUAAUCUCCAAAUUUCGUCGUGAUGGGGAUAGAUUAUUGCAAUUAUUAAUCUUCAACGAGGAAUGCCUAGUAAGCACGAAUCAUCAGUUCGUGCUGAUUACGUCCCUGCCCUUUGUACACACCGCCCGUCGCUCCUACCGAUGGAUAAUCCGGUGAAUUAUUCGGACCGGCACUCAACCAGGUUUCCUGGAUGAGAGCUGGAAAGUCUUGUGAACCUUAUUAUCUAGAGGAAGGAGAAGUCGUANCA
This 323-nucleotide ribosomal RNA is filed under the name uncultured eukaryote. Its description in RNAcentral is "partial 18S ribosomal RNA". It matches the Rfam family "Eukaryotic small subunit ribosomal RNA", at positions 1470 to 1796 of the family's 1831-position model. The record is from RNAcentral.